RNAcentral lists this unclassified non-coding RNA (240 nucleotides) under soil metagenome. RNAcentral describes it as "partial contains 5.8S ribosomal RNA, internal transcribed spacer 2, and large subunit ribosomal RNA". The record is from RNAcentral.
AACGCACGAGACCUGCGGACCUGCGGAAGGAUCAUUAAUGAGAAGCUGCCCCUCGUGGGUAGACCUCCCACCCUCUGUGAACUUACCUCUGUUGCUUUGGCAGGCCCGUCCUCUGGACCGCCGGCUUCGGCUGGCCCGUGCCUGCCAGAGGAUUCCAAACCCUGUCUGUCAGUGUUGUCUGAGUCUAUAUGAAAUCGUUAAAACUUUCAACAAUGGAUCUCUAGAUCGGAAGAGCACACG